AGCAGCCGCGGUAAUUCCAGCUCCAAUAGCGUAUAUUAAAGUUGUUGCAGUUAAAAAGCUCGUAGUUGAAUUUCGGGAUCAAUAUGUUGGUCGUGCCUCGGUACGUACUAGCAUAUUGGUUUCUCCUUUCUGAAGAACCAUGAUGUCAUUUAUUUGGUGUCGUGGGGAAUCAGGACUGUUACUUUGAAAAAUUAGAGUGUUUAAAGCAGGCUCACGCUUGAAUACAUUAGCAUGGAAUAAUGAAAUAGGACGUUUGAUUCUAUUUUGUUGGUUUCUAGGAUCGACGUAAUGAUUAAUAGGGAUAGUUGGGGGCAUUAGUAUUCAAUUGUCAGAGGUGAAAUUCUUGGAUUUAUUGAAGACUAACUACUGCGAAAGCAUUUGCCAAGGAUGUUUUCAUUAAUCAAGAACGAAAGUUAGGGGAUCGAAGACGAUCAGAUACCGUCGUAGUCUUAACCAUAAACUAUGCCGACUAGGGAUCGGAUGAUGUUAAUUUUUAAUGA
Molecule: ribosomal RNA, 500 nt
Filed under: uncultured Glomus
Lineage: Eukaryota; Fungi; Glomeromycota; Glomeromycetes; Glomerales; Glomeraceae
Description: SSU rRNA
Rfam family: Eukaryotic small subunit ribosomal RNA
Source: RNAcentral